This 2160-nucleotide ribosomal RNA is filed under the name Triticum aestivum (bread wheat). RNAcentral's name for it is "partial small subunit ribosomal RNA". Lineage: Eukaryota; Viridiplantae; Streptophyta; Magnoliopsida; Poales; Poaceae. The record is from RNAcentral.
AUGGCUUUAGUACAUGAUCUUUGGUUGCCAAGUAGUUUGGACACGAUGACAGGGCCAAUUUGGCCAUCUAUUGAGGCCAAAAUUUUUGAGUUGAGGCCUGGACUUAUUGCUCUCGUCUUGCAGAAUCAGUUUAGAGGAUUACCCAAUGAAGACCCUCAUGAGCACAUUAGUAAUGUUCUGGAGUAUGCCAAUACAGUCCAGUAUCAUGGCGUUUCCCAAGAUACUAUCAAGUGUAUGUUGUUCACAUUCUCUCUCAGAGAUGCUGCUAAGGACUGGUACUAUUCUUUGCCAUCAAGAUCAUACACUUGGGGUGAUAUUUCACAAGCUUUCCUGCAUAGAUAUUUUCCACUUUACAAGCAAGCUGCAAUUCGUGACCAGAUCCUCAGUUUUGCGCAAGAUGGUAGUGAGAGCUUGUAUGCAGCUUGGGAGAGAUAUAAGUAUUUGCUUAGAAAAUGUCCUAAUCAUGGGCAAAAGGAUUGGUUAGUGCUUCAGAUAUUCUAUAGAGGGCUGACACAUGCUUCAAGAGAUCUUAUUGAUAUGUCAGCUGGUGGAACAAUCAUGAACAAGACCGUCGAGGGUGCAAUUAUUCUCAUUGAGAGCAUUGCCUUCCACCAAAUGCAAUGGGGUUAUGAAAGGCCUAGUUCAAAUCCGAAGGUUGCAAGCCUCGUGCAAUCAGAAGUUGUGUGUUCCAUAAGUGAACAGAAAUCAUCCAUGGUGCCUAAUAUUCAAAACCAGCAUGUUUCAUUCCGGGGACAACAACAUUUCAGAACUGAAUUAGAUCCUCCAUAUAGAACGAUUGAUCUUACUUCAAUUAUCCUUGAUGAUGAUUAUGAUAUUUUUCAAGAUGAUGAAACUACUGUAGAUCAGAUGGAAACCACAGUAGCAGAUCCAAUACCUCAUGGCAAUGAAACUGUCCAGAAUGAGUCAAAGCUGAAAGAAGAUGUUUAUGAGGAACCUACUCUGAUUGAUGCUAAGUUGAGACAACAAGAUAUGGAGAAAUUCACUUGUGUUAGUCAACUAUGUGACUGGUGGAAUUUAGUCGUGUCACCAAUUGCCCACACUUGUGUUACAACGGUAUCUGGGCUAUUUGUCAAGAAGAAAUCAUUAGCUCCACCGGUGGUUGCCUCUAUCACAGUUAAAGAGAGUAUCUCAGAGAAGAAUAGUGAAGAUGAGAUUCCAACUCCUGCACAUACAACUAAGCAAGUCGGAGCCAUUCCAAGGAGAGAGAUACAAGAGGUUGAGUCAAAUUUAGAAGAGUUGAUACUUCAAUAUCCUGAGAAGAUCCCACGUGUUGCUGAGCUGCAUGACUGGUGGAAGUCAUCAGUGUCACUGUUGAGACUUAGUAGUGAUGGUGAUGAGGAGAACAUUGCUCAGAAAGACAGCGAGGUAGUGAUCUCAACACCCCUACCAGAUCAUGUUAGUGAAUAUUCACAUAUGGGGACACUUCAGACUCAAUUAAGUGUUGCUGGUAGUAGCACCAUAGAAGAUCCAGAGGAAGAGAGUCCUCAACUUGAAGAAGAUUUACAAGAAGACAAGGAACAAGAUGAUCAAGAGCUGCAAUUUCCAAGUGAUCAAGUUGAAGACUCAUCAUCUACUACUCCUGAAGAAGUACAAGAAGCUGUUGUAGAUGAAGAUGAAGAACCUGAGAUUCAUUGGCCUAUUGUCAUACAUGAGCGCGAUGUGUCAGGUUUACCCAAUCCUCUUGAUGACAUGCUCCCUUGUGAUUUCUUUGCUUCUAACUUGCAUUGCAUGAUGCCAUCACUUAAGGUAGAUUUGAAAAACUAUUUGCUUGGACAUGAUCAUACACACCCUGUUAGUGGCAUUACUCUCAUUUGUGAUGAUCACAGUUACUUUCCUCGUGCUAGUUCUAUGCUUAAUGAAACAUAUCAUUCCCAUGUUAGUCUUGAGCUUAAUGAUAAAUAUCAUCCUCAUGUUAGCAUUGAGCUUACUGAUUUGUACCAUCCUAAACAUGUGCUUUAUAGCUAUGCUUAUGUAAUUGGGUACUCUAUAGAUGAUUUAGAGGGCAUUACCCUUGUCACUUGUAUUGUUUCCUUGGUUGAGUGCUCUUUCAGGUUGUUGCUUGUGCACGAUCCACUACAUGCUGACCAAGUCCGAGAUGACAUUCCCUGGGACCCCGGUGGACCCAUGGCAUGGGGAUGA